GUUUCCUGUACGAGCAUUCCCACUGCACCAGCGCUGCUGUCUGGCCGUCACAAACUUGACGCCAAACAAUUAUCUGCUGUUCGUCAAAUUUUAAGCAUUCAGGGCUCACCACCUUACUUGGUGGCUGGCCAGCUUUGUGUUGAAAGGAACGUUUUUAGGCCGUCGAGAACUGGAGAGGUAGUUUGUGAAGCAGUGCACCAGUUAUGUCAAACCUCACUCAAAAAUAGGAUGCUGAUAUGUGCUCCUAGUAACCGCUGUUGUGAUGGGAUUAUGAGCAGCUUGUUGAAAGUGAUUCCAGAGUCAGAUAUGUUUCGAGCCAACGCUGCAUUCCGUGAGAAAGAUGAGGUGCCUGAUGACAUCCUCCCAUCAUGCCUUUACGAAGACCCUUAUUUCUCUUGUCCUCCAACUGAGAAGCUUAAAAAAUUCAGGGUGAUUUUCUCGACUCUCAUGAGUAGCUUUCGGCUACAUGAUAAAGGCCUAACUUCUGGACAUUUUAGUCAUAUUUUUCUGGUGGAUGCUUCAUCUGCCAUUGAGCCGGAAACAGCAGUGGCCUUAACUAAUUUUGUAGAAAAAAGUACUACUGUUAUAGUCACUGGUCAACCAGGAGAUAAUUCACGUUGGGUUCGAGCAGACAUGGCAAGACAACAGGGACUGAAGAUUUCAUACUUCGAGAGACUUUUCAAGUCAAGGCCAUAUAGAAGCCUCAAUCCAAUGCUAAUCACACAAUUGGACCAGUAGCAAGAGCCACACUCAGCAACAUCUACAGG
This 767-nucleotide long non-coding RNA is filed under the name Prunus dulcis (almond). RNAcentral describes it as "sRNA ncRNA". Lineage: Eukaryota; Viridiplantae; Streptophyta; Magnoliopsida; Rosales; Rosaceae. The record is from RNAcentral.